RNAcentral lists this ribosomal RNA (147 nucleotides) under Cupressus assamica. RNAcentral's name for it is "5.8S ribosomal RNA". It matches the Rfam family "5.8S ribosomal RNA". Rfam says of the family: 5.8S ribosomal RNA (5.8S rRNA) is a component of the large subunit of the eukaryotic ribosome. It is transcribed by RNA polymerase I as part of the 45S precursor that also contains 18S and 28S rRNA. Functionally, it is thought that 5.8S rRNA may be involved in ribosome translocation. Lineage: Eukaryota; Viridiplantae; Streptophyta; Pinopsida; Cupressales; Cupressaceae. The record is from RNAcentral.
AUAUCUCGGCUCUCGCCACGAUGAAGAAUGUAGCGAAAUGCGAUACUUAGUGUGAAUUGCAGAAUCCCGUGAAUCAUCAAGUCUUUGAACGCAAGUUGCGCCCGAGGCCUCGGGCCAAGGGCACGUCUGCUUGGGCGUCGCACUACA